This 497-nucleotide ribosomal RNA is filed under the name uncultured bacterium. RNAcentral's name for it is "partial 16S ribosomal RNA". It matches the Rfam family "Bacterial small subunit ribosomal RNA", at positions 28 to 507 of the family's 1533-position model. The record is from RNAcentral.
GAUGAACGCUGGCGGCGUGCCUAAUACAUGCAAGUAGAACGCUGAAGGAAGGAGCUUGCUCUUUCCGGAUGAGUUGCGAACGGGUGAGUAACGCGUAGGUAACCUGCCUGGUAGCGGGGGAUAACUAUUGGAAACGAUAGCUAAUACCGCAUAACAGUAGAUGUUGCAUGAUAUCUACUUAAAAGGUGCAAUUGCACCACUACCAGAUGGACCUGCGUUGUAUUAGCUAGUUGGUGAGGUAACGGCUCACCAAGGCGACGGUACAUAGCCGACCUGAGAGGGUGGUCGGCCCAACUGGGACUGGGACCCGGCCCAGACUCCUACGGGGGGCAGCCGUAGGGGAUCUUCGGCAAUGGGCGGAAGUCUGACCGGGCAACGCCGCGUGGGUGGAGAAGGUUUUCGGAUCGUAAAGCUCUGUUGUAAGGGAAGAACGAGUGUGGGAGUGGAAAGUUCACGCUGUGACGGUAUCUUACCAGAAAGGGACGGCUAACUACGUG